AGUGAACGCUGGCGGUAGGCCUAACACAUGCAAGUCGAACGGCAGCACAGUAAGAGCUUGCUCUUACGGGUGGCGAGUGGCGGACGGGUGAGGAAUACAUCGGAAUCUACUUUUUCGUGGGGGAUAACGUAGGGAAACUUACGCUAAUACCGCAUACGACCUACGGGUGAAAGCAGGGGAUCUUCGGACCUUGCGCGAUUGAAUGAGCCGAUGUCGGAUUAGCUAGUUGGCGGGGUAAAGGCCCACCAAGGCGACGAUCCGUAGCUGGUCUGAGAGGAUGAACAGCCACACGGGAACUGAGACACGGUCCAGACUCCUACGGGAGGCAGCAGUGGGGAAUAUUGGACAAUGGGCGAAAGCCUGAUCCAGCCAUACCGCGUGGGUGAAGAAGGCCUUCGGGUUGUAAAGCCCUUUUGUUGGGAAAGAAAAGCAGCAGGUUAAUACCCCGCUGUUCUGACGGUACCCAAAGAAUAAGCACCGGCUAACUUCGUG
Molecule: ribosomal RNA, 492 nt
Filed under: uncultured bacterium
Lineage: Bacteria
Description: partial 16S ribosomal RNA
Rfam family: Bacterial small subunit ribosomal RNA
Source: RNAcentral